RNAcentral lists this long non-coding RNA (374 nucleotides) under Elaeis guineensis (African oil palm). Its description in RNAcentral is "long non-coding RNA (EGUI_LNC007430)". Lineage: Eukaryota; Viridiplantae; Streptophyta; Magnoliopsida; Arecales; Arecaceae. The record is from RNAcentral.
GUUGCUUCUGUUGCUGCUAGAGUCAGAGGCCAUAGACGACCCCCAUCAAAGUUUUCACUUGUUGCACAAAGGUAGCAAAUUGCGGAUGGACCGCUAUCACCAUCGGUCGUGAAGUGCUUGGCUCCCUGACGGUUGUCAGAGGCGCAUCACAUUGCGAUGAAUGUCAAGUGGAGCUUGCAAAAGUAUUUUGCACUCUCAUCUUGACCAUGGUGGCUCUUGGGGGAGUACUCUUCUUUCUCUACCUUCGUGCGUGCCCCCCUACCUGGUGUGCUAAACUAUUGCGGCAUAUCUUCGAUGGAGUGGUCGAUUGAGGAUCGAGUUGCUGCACCUGAGUGUCGGAUGGUAGGGAAGCAACAAAGGAUACCUAGUCGGUG